Molecule: unclassified non-coding RNA, 246 nt
Filed under: Pleosporales sp.
Lineage: Eukaryota; Fungi; Ascomycota; Dothideomycetes; Pleosporales
Description: partial contains 5.8S ribosomal RNA, internal transcribed spacer 2, and large subunit ribosomal RNA
Source: RNAcentral
CGCACAUUGCGCCCCUCGGUAGUCCGUGGGGCAUGCCUGUUCGAGCGUCAUUUACACCCUCAAGCCUAGCUUGGUAUUGGGCGUUUGUCAAGCCUUCGCGCAUUUGACUCGCCUUAAAAUCAUUGGCAGCCUGCCUUCGCCCGUCUGAGCACAGCACAAUCGUGUCUCUAGCAGCAAAAGUAGGCUUUCCAAAAGCAACCAUCUUAGUUUGACCUCGGAUCAGGUAGGAAUACCCGCUGAACUUAA